UACNNGACAGAAACGUCUUAUAUUGAUAUUUCUUGUCACUACCUCCCUGUGUCAGGAUUGGGUAAUUUACGCGCCUGCUGCCUUCCUUAGAUGUGGUAGCCGUUUCUCAGGCUCCCUCUCCGGAAUCGAACCCUAAUUCUCCGUUACCCGUCAAAGCCACGGUAGGCCAAUAUCCUACCGUCGGAAGCUGAUAGGUCAGAAACUUGAUAGCCUCAUCGACUCUUGCGAGUCGAUUCGCCAGAACACUAUGAAUCAACGAAAACCANNCAGAGCCUGGGUUGGUUCGGUAUCUAAUAAGCGCAACCCUUCAAGAAGUCGGGUUUUUAAGCAUGUAUUAGCUCUAGAAUUACCAUGGGUAUCCAAGGAAUCACUGACCGGCCAGGGAAUAAUAACUGUUAUAAUGAGCCAUUCACAGUUUCGCAGUACAGAACUUAUACUUAGACAUGCAUGGCUUAAUCUUUGAGACAAGCAUAUGACUACUGGCAGGAUCAACCAG
RNAcentral lists this ribosomal RNA (496 nucleotides) under uncultured eukaryote. Its description in RNAcentral is "partial 18S ribosomal RNA". The record is from RNAcentral.